GGCGAUGUGGUGGAAUUGGUAGACACGAGGGAUUCAAAAUCCCUUGCCUUCGGGCGUGACGGUUCGAGUCCGUCCAUCGCUACCA
This 85-nucleotide transfer RNA is filed under the name Gammaproteobacteria bacterium. RNAcentral's name for it is "tRNA-Leu". It matches the Rfam family "tRNA". Rfam says of the family: Transfer RNA (tRNA) molecules are approximately 80 nucleotides in length. Lineage: Bacteria; Pseudomonadati; Pseudomonadota; Gammaproteobacteria. The record is from RNAcentral. RNAcentral also lists the same sequence under 1 other name.